UAACAAACCCCCUCCCUUCUCCUCUCUUAAUUCUUCUCCAUCCUCAAUAUUCAUAUGAGGAAGUCCUCUCAGUUGAGGGGAAUGUUGUCUGGCUCGAGGUCACCAACUAGAUCCAUGACCCAUCCAUUUUAUGCCUUUCAAAAAGAUUAGUUGAUUUUAAUAUGAAAAAGGGGUUAUGGAUCAUGUGUUAGUGUUGUCGGACCAGGCUUCAUUCCCCCCAAUUGUUGCUUCCUCCAAGGUUGUGGGAUUUGGUCAUUAUAAGGUAAUGUUGAUGGACAAGAGCAGAUUGGUGUAAUGAUGAAGUUUUUUGACUCCUUCCACUUUUCUGCCACGGUAAAAAUCUGAUGCUGCUUUUAUUUUAACUUUGUCAUUUAAUUUAUGCUUGUGUCAGUUUCUCUCUGCUUUGAGUUAGUGUUAUAUCAUUAGCCUCAUUUUACUCAUGAUGACUUCUUGAAUCUCUUCUGUCCGUUUCCUCAUCUUCUUUUUGAAUGACUUUGUAAGUAUCAUCAUUACUCAUCAUUUCUUAGUUUAGGGUUUUACUUCCUCCUACCCACAUGUGAUGUAAGCUUACACAUUCAUUUCAGUUUAUCAAAUGAGAUUUAUCACACUUCUAUAUUUGGCUCAUCAUGUGAUUUGUUGUUUCCUUUUCUCUCUUAUAUAUCUGCUUUUUUCUUGGUGACAGGCAUCAGGCAUGGGAAUUAAUAAUCUUUAAAUCUAAAAUAUCGUAACUUAUAUUGUGGACAAGGUCUUGUGAGAUCAUCAUACAUAGAUCUAUGCUAAUAAAAUUUCUUCACAUGAAGAAGAAGUCAUUCCUCAUUUCUGUUUCACUUUUUGGGUUAAAACUAUAGAAAGUGUGCAGGAAUAUUUUCAUUCUAAGCUUUGGUAAAGCUGGCUUAAAAUUUCUUUUCUGCUGAAGAAUGAUCAGAGAUUAAUUUUUCAAAGAUCUAUACUCUUGACCACGGAGUACGUUUGAUUUUGAAGCAACUCACUUGCAGCACUUGUUGUUUACCAUAUUGUUUAAGUUAUGUAUACCCUCAUUCUAAAGAAUUUUGUAACACUAUCAGGUUACUCAAACGAUAAUUGCUAUUAGUAAAUUCUCUAAAAUGUGAAAUUGAUAAUCUUGAAAAUAUGACAAGUUACUAUAACAUGUCAAGGUGAAAUGAUAGAGUACGUUCUUUUUAACUUACGAUGUAUAUAACUUAAUAAUUUCUCAAUCAACUUGUUAGGGAAUCAUUGUUUACCAUAUACAUUACAAACCGUGAAGUUCAUCAAAUAGAGUGAUUUUCUAAAAAUGGUGUCAAUAAUAUUGUACUGUCAAUAUCAACAAAGAAACUAAUGAGCUGUGAUGGUAGAAAUUACAUAAUGGAUCUGGGGAUGAACUGGCAUGGAUGCAACAAUGCAUAUGCACUUUGGAAAUUGAAGCUGAAUCCUGUCGUCGCUUUGGCUCUAUUACAUUCUUGUGAUCUGCUCCUAUUGUUUGAUGGGAUGUCUUUGUACUAUGUUCAAACAUUCAGUAUAAAAAAAGAAAAGGAAAACUUUCUUCUUUUUUUUUGUUGAAAGAUUUGAAAAUUUGAGUUUUGAAAUGCUCGCGAAAUGAAAUAACUUUUGCAAAAACAGUUCAAUUACAACACCUUUUUAAACAAAUCAGAAAAAUGAGUUUACAAACAAUUAAAACAGCCAUCUUAAAUUCUUUUUGAGAUAUUGUGGUGUGUAGAAUGACUUUAUAACUUCUAUGCAUGUAACUAUUGAAAAACAUAGAUGUGCCGAAUGAAUUCGCUGGAAGCCAUUCCACUGCUGCACCUAUGUAUAUUGCUUUGAUGUUAAAGGGCCUCUAGAGAGUUCCUUUUCUUUCACUUCAGCAAUGAAUCUGCUUGUACUUUAUCAUUGUUACGUUGGAAAAAACAUUAGGGUUUAUGUAUCACAUGAUGCAAAAAGGAUGACUUCUCAAUGCUUGGUUUUUUUAUAUAUGGAUUUCAUAUUAUAUAUAUCAAGCACACAAAUUUUUGCAUCGUCCA
Lycium barbarum (goji berry) is the source of this 2015-nucleotide long non-coding RNA. RefSeq lists it as uncharacterized. The record is from RefSeq and is a predicted model, not a curated record. The transcript is spliced from 2 exons. NCBI's taxonomy places the organism in Eukaryota, Viridiplantae, Streptophyta, Magnoliopsida, Solanales, Solanaceae.